Molecule: long non-coding RNA, 376 nt
Filed under: Cucumis sativus (cucumber)
Lineage: Eukaryota; Viridiplantae; Streptophyta; Magnoliopsida; Cucurbitales; Cucurbitaceae
Description: long non-coding RNA (CSAT_LNC000792)
Source: RNAcentral
UGCCUCUAUGUUUGCCUGCUCCAGCUAUGGAAAGAUUUGUGAAAGAACUUGAUGCUUUGUUGAAGGCAGAAAAAAGCAUUGAUAGAGUUGAAAAUCAGAAGCCAUUGUUCAUUGCAUCUGCUCUAUAAUUAGGGAAACCAAUAAAACCCUUCAAAAAAGAACUCUUGAUUAUUAUAGCCAUAAUACAAAUAAGAAGAAUAAUAUACAAUGAGGUAUGAGGUAGUGUGUAAUACAUGUCGUGUAAUGUUUUAUAAGGUUUGUAAUUUAUAAAAUUUUGUGUUUAUUUGUAACUUAUUACCUUAUUAGUUUGGAUUUAUAUAUGAUGGAAAACGCAUCAACUCUCAAUAAACUUUCUCUUUUUUCUUUUGAACUUUUU